This 461-nucleotide ribosomal RNA is filed under the name uncultured bacterium. RNAcentral's name for it is "partial 16S ribosomal RNA". It matches the Rfam family "Bacterial small subunit ribosomal RNA", at positions 28 to 505 of the family's 1533-position model. The record is from RNAcentral.
GACGAACGCUGGCGGCGUGCUUAACACAUGCAAGUCGAACGGAAAGGCCUUUUCGGAGGUGCUCGAUUGGCUGACGGGUGAGUAACACGUGGGUGAUCUGCCCUCCACUCUGGGAUAAGCCUGGGCAACUGGGUCUAAUACCUGAUCGGUCCGCACUUUAGUGUGUUUGGUGGAAAGUUUUUUCGUUGUAGGAUGAGCCCGCGGCCUAUCCGCUUGUUGGUGGGGUAAUGGCCUACCAAGGCGGCGACGGUUAGCGGGACGCGGAGGUUGGUCGGCCACAUGGGGAUGGGGAUAGGGCCAAGAUUCUGAGGGGAGGAAGAAGUGGGGAAUAUGGAACAAGGGGGGAAAGCCGGAUGCAGCGACGCCGCGGGGGGGAGGACGGCCUUGGGGUUGUAAACGCCUUUGGCCAGGGACGAAGCGGAGUGUGACGGUAGGGGGAGAAGAAGCACCGGAUAAAUACG